GAGGAAAAUGAUAAUCCUUUCACCAUAUGAUGGGUGCUGGAUAUAAUGUUUUUCAUUGCAUUCUCUUUGGAAAAGUCAAACCAGGACUUUCAUCCUC
Phoenix dactylifera (date palm) is the source of this 97-nucleotide small nucleolar RNA. RefSeq annotates it as small nucleolar RNA Z103. Lineage: Eukaryota; Viridiplantae; Streptophyta; Magnoliopsida; Arecales; Arecaceae. The record is from RefSeq and is a predicted model, not a curated record.